This 577-nucleotide unclassified non-coding RNA is filed under the name Haliotis rufescens (red abalone). Its description in RNAcentral is "uncharacterized LOC124145399, transcript variant X7". Lineage: Eukaryota; Metazoa; Mollusca; Gastropoda; Lepetellida; Haliotidae. The record is from RNAcentral.
UUCAAGAUUACCAGACAAAAGUUCUAUCUUUACUGCUGAAGCCAAGGCUAUUCAAACAGCCUUGGAAUAUAUCCAGAAACAAACUACACCGUCAAACACGAUGUUGCGAGUGAGCCACGCCCUGGUCCUGAUGCUGGUGAUGCUGAUGCUUAUGCCCGAGAGUGACGGUUGGCGGAGGAGGAGGCGUCGAAGGGUUGUGAUACAGCAAAGCAAUCAUGCCAAUACCAACAACUGCCACUGCGGCGCAAACAUCAAGGAUCUUCUGCACCUGUUUCUCAAGUUGAACGCAAAGAAUCUGGGUAGACGUGACGUUUCAACGAUUCUCGAUGUUGAUGAAGACGACCCACUCCUGGCAGAGGUGAUGCAGAAACGUGAUGGGAUGGUUGCAAAAGAAGAGCUGUAUGAUGCUGCAAAACGAGCAUAUUUUUACACGUCUACUGGCGUGAACAACAAGAACCAUUGUCAUUGUGGACGGCAGGUGCUGCAACACUUUUGACGUAGCCUGGACUGACGAUCCAUCCUCAAUGUCCCGGAGACACGAGUUGCCACAGACUGACAAAUAAACAUGAAGCAUGCA